UGUGCUUGCUCCAGGAACACAAUACUAAAAUUGGAAUAAUACAGAGAAGAUCACCAUGGCCCUGCACAAGAAUGUCAUGCAAAUUUAUGAAAUAGUAUUGUUUUUA
This is a small nuclear RNA of Cricetulus griseus (Chinese hamster), 106 nucleotides long. The record is from Ensembl. NCBI's taxonomy places the organism in Eukaryota, Metazoa, Chordata, Mammalia, Rodentia, Cricetidae.